Molecule: long non-coding RNA, 169 nt
Organism: Alosa sapidissima (American shad)
Lineage: Eukaryota; Metazoa; Chordata; Actinopteri; Clupeiformes; Clupeidae
Exons: 3
Source: RefSeq, a predicted model, not a curated record
UGAUUCCAUGUUUCUACGACAUUGUCAUACAACCUUUAGCCAUGUGGCUGUGUAAUUUUCAGUUAGAACAAACAUAUUGGUGAAGAGAAAAUCCACAUUAAAUCAAUAUUUGCCAGGGGUAUCAAUCAUUUUGUUCUUAAAGGUAUAUAGAGAGAAAGAGAGAGAGAGA